UACGAAGGGGGGCUAGCGUUGCUCGGAAUCACUGGGCGUAAAGCGCACGUAGGCGGCUUUUUAAGUCAGGGGUGAAAUCCUGGAGCUCAACUCCAGAACUGCCUUUGAUACUGGGAAGCUUGAGUCCGGAAGAGGUGAGUGGAACUCCGAGUGUAGAGGUGAAAUUCGUAGAUAUUCGGAAGAACACCAGUGGCGAAGGCGGCUCACUGGUCCGGUACUGACGCUGAGGCGCGAAAAGCGUGGGGAGCAAACAGG
RNAcentral lists this ribosomal RNA (255 nucleotides) under uncultured bacterium. Its description in RNAcentral is "partial 16S ribosomal RNA". It matches the Rfam family "Bacterial small subunit ribosomal RNA", at positions 524 to 776 of the family's 1533-position model. The record is from RNAcentral.